UAGCAAGAUAUGGAUGGCCAAGUGACCC
RNAcentral lists this non-coding RNA (28 nucleotides) under Mus musculus (house mouse). The record is from RNAcentral. Lineage: Eukaryota; Metazoa; Chordata; Mammalia; Rodentia; Muridae.